UCAGUACAGUGGAGCAGUGCUGUGGAAUAGCCUUCCCGAAAAUAUAAGAAUGCUCCAAUCGUUUGCUCAGUUCCGGAAAGCUGUAAACAAGUAUUAUAAUAGUUUAGAUGAACUCCCACACGGCAAUCUUGUAAACCAGUAGAUCAUAUUCCUUUAUUUAUUUUUGCAUGCUUAAACUUGUAUAUAUUUAUAUACUGAAGAUUCCACCGUGGAUAAAUAAAUUUUUAUUGUAUUGUAUUGUAUUGUAUUGUAUUGUAUUGUAUUGUAUUGUAUUGUAUUGUAUUACCAAGUAAAUAUUCACUGGUCGUACGUUGUCUUCCGCCAGUACAGCCAUGGUAUAUACCAAUGCCUGCAGAAACUAACAACAUUAAACCAAAUACGACAUAAUCCACAGGAUGAAACGUUCUCUCCGGCUCUGCCAUUUUUGGUACUCAACUGCGUGGCCUUUGUAUAUCCAAGCUGAUUAGCGUCUUAUAUAUGUAGUCAGUAAUACGAGACAAGCAAAUAUUGACUGAUGAAUAGGAUUGCUAUGCCGACAGCAAAUAUUAAAUGUUUGAAGUAAUGUGACACCAUUGUUUCGCUUUUUAUUUCAUGACUAUUUUGCGAUGCUGAUCCAUG
Paramuricea clavata is the source of this 618-nucleotide non-coding RNA. NCBI's taxonomy places the organism in Eukaryota, Metazoa, Cnidaria, Anthozoa, Malacalcyonacea, Plexauridae. The record is from the annotation of a GenBank genome assembly.